AUUGUAUUAUUUAUUUAUUUAUUCAUUAUUGUAAUACAUUCUGUUGAACAACUAUGCACUAAAUGCUAAGUUCAAUUGCCUUUACAUUAAGUCUGUAAUAACAAUAAGCUUCUUUGUUUCCUUAUUCCUUAAGCAGCCUGUCUUUUUCACAGAUAAAGAUUUGGUUUCAAAACAGACGCACAAAGUGGAAAAGGAAGUAUACCAACGAUGUGGAGUUGCUAGCGCAACAGUAUUACUCCAGUUUGGGGAUUCCUGCCCCGCGACCAAUUUUUGUCGGCGAUCGAUUAUGGUUUUUCAACUAUCCGGGUCAACCACAACCGGGGACGCCAAUUUUUCCUCAACAUUUGGCGACUGUGCCUUUGCCACCAGCAUUACCCAUCGUUCAGCCACUACCAAGCAAUUUAUCGAUGGGACAACAGUCUUCGAUAUUUCAAAGUAUCCCUACGAACAACCCACCAUACCAUUUGAGUCAGAGAUUAGACUUUCGACAUCCGGAUUCGUAAGUAACAAGUGAUCACGGUAAAUGUGUACAUCGUCGAUUUAUAGUGCGCGACUGAAUCACUAAAAACUGAAAUCGCGUGUGAUAAUUACUACUAAACACUUUAGAAUGUAGCAGAACGUAUUGCAAUUUACGGUAGCGUUUCCAAAAAUUGGAAGACUUGCUGCUAUGUGAACGAACGAUGAAAUCGGAAGGAUUCGAGAAUCGCGUCGGUUCUGGCGUCAUUCGUACAUAUCAGGUUUGAAAAAUAAAACUCGUGGGGCCGAACUAUCGUCGGCAAUUCUUAGGAACUUAGGAAAUUUUUUUGUACUCGCAUUUAUUGUAAGGAGACACGGUAUACACAGUAUAUAGUUUCUUUUUUCAAUCGCAGUCUCUCCGUUUUUACAGGAAAAACCGAACAAACAUAUUUUUAUCUCCGAGAAAUCGUAACAAUAAAUAGUGCCGUACUUUCUUUCUUGUAUACAAACAUAGGAAACGAACUAAUAAAUUAUUUAUUAACUGUACAUUGAGAUUGGAUAUAAAAAUUAUAUCAAUAAAGUUUGUUACAAUA
Megalopta genalis is the source of this 1049-nucleotide non-coding RNA. The record is from RefSeq and is a predicted model, not a curated record. NCBI's taxonomy places the organism in Eukaryota, Metazoa, Arthropoda, Insecta, Hymenoptera, Halictidae.